Molecule: long non-coding RNA, 5386 nt
Filed under: Xyrichtys novacula (pearly razorfish)
Lineage: Eukaryota; Metazoa; Chordata; Actinopteri; Labriformes; Labridae
Source: RNAcentral
GCAGGAGACUAAACCAGCAAAGUUCUUCAAGAUUUGUUUCCUUCCUCUGAAUGUGCAGCUGUCCAACCUGAAGUCUUCGGUAUGUGUGUCAGAAACUUAAAGGGAUAUUCCGGCGUAAAAUUACUUAGGUCGCGUUCAUUCACACCUAUACGUCAUCAAUAUGCGACAAACGUCACCAUUAUUCGACGACACAAACAGGCGAGGAAAGCAAUUUAUGCUUUGUGCACAUGCGGGUCACUUCACGGACGCAUUCUGUUUACAUUAGAUGCUGCAUUUGUUGUUGGAAUGUGAACGACCGCACAAAAAGAUCGGAUUUAAGAAAAAAUCCGAAUUGUGCAUCAGAACCUGCAGUGUGAACGUAGACUUAUAUUCCAGAAAAUACGGUAAGUGGAAGUGAUGCACAUGAGUUGACUAUAGUGGAGAUGUCCGAACCUGCACUUAACGUUGAUUUAAAGGACUGAAGUCUGUUGAAUAUUUGCAGAAAAUCUUCCUUUUAUUCUGGUUUUAAAGCUGCAGUUUGGAGUCUUUGUACCAGCGUGGGAAAAGUGCGUUUGGCGUCGUGCCUUGAAUGCAGACGUAAAACAUCAGCUGUCACUCAGUCAGCUGUGAUGACAUGACAGCUCGUCUCUCUGACCUGCCAGCAGCUCCACCUUUAAUCUCAGUUUUAUUCCAUCAACAUCAAACUGUCCGAGGCCACGAGGAAAUCACUCUUCUAACCGCGUUCCAAUCCACUCGUCAGGGUGUGUACGAAUGUUUUAUAACCUGAUUUACAUAACACUGAAACCUACUUACAGCUGAGCUCUGUUUAUGAGGACAUGCAGAUGCUGCAGAUUAAAGUGAAUUAACUUGGGAAGUGAGUAAACUUGAACUUUCAGCUGUUUUUAAGUGUUUUUCCACCAGACACCGAGUUUCCUCCAGCAAAAACAAAAAAAACAGAGAGUCAGAAAGAACAGCUCGACCCUGACCUGCAGACCUAAAUCACCUGAGCUCGUAAAGUCGGCGUGAAGCUGGCACACACUCAGGGAUCCUCUUUCAUAACACACACACAAACACACAAGCAUCGAGCCAGAGGUGGAGGGAUGUCCGAGGUUACAGGCCACAGCUGCAGAAGGUCAAAAGUCAAGGUGGAGAGGUGAGAGAGGAGGUUUAACUGGAAAUAGGAGACUGGAGGUCGUCUUCCCUGAAGGAUUAUCGGUGUUACGGUUCAAGGACGUCAAAAAAAGACGAGGGUCAGGUCAAAGCGAGCUCUUAAUGUGACGCUUAAAACACGUUUAUAUUCAUGCAUUCAUAAAAACAGUUAAAAUAAUAGAAUAAAAACGACUUUAAAUGGAUUUAAACACUGAUGGAGGAUCCUCAGAUCUCAGGUUGUUUACCUGAGGAGGUCAAGGGGUCAAACCCCGCCCCCUUAUAUAUGGCGAUUUAUUAUAUUUCUAUGAUAUCAUGUGUUUGUUUUCGGUCUUUUGCUGACCCCCUCAGCUGCUUCUUUGUUAACUUUAACCCGACUGAAUAAAAUAUUUUCACCUGUUAUGACCCAGAGUUUAACUGCUUUUAUUCUCUUUUCUGAAUGUCUUAUUGUUAAUUUUUUGUUUUUAAAGGUUUUGAAUCCCGACUAUUGAUGCAAACUGAAGAUUUUUUGUUCAUCCAGGUGUGAGUGAGGAUCUCUCCUGCUCUGUAGCCUCCUGUCACCCACCCCUCCGCCUCCUCAGGGUGCUCCACUUUAUUCAGUCCAUUACUCACCGCAGUGCUGGAUUACUCACACCUCCAGUCCCUCGCUCUUUGUCACGGCAGAAAAAUAAAUGCCUUCGUACAAAGAGACAAACACCGACGCAGCAGAAUCCUCUCCAACCAACACACACGUCUGAAGCUGCGGUAAGAAACAGAAACAAAUUGGACCUGCUGACCUUCUGAAAACACACACACAAAUACACACACAUGUCUAAAUAACACUCACAGUUAUUUAGCAACAAUACAGUUAUGUAACUUCAGAAACAAUGAGACGCUGCGACUUCAAAAAGCUCGACCGCAAGAGCGGAGAUUAAAUUUCUCAAAGGAUUUGCACAAAUAUGACGAAGCUGUUCGUCACCCAGAUUUGACAGGGUCUGAUCAGGAUUACACAACCUGCAGGAGGACGAACCCGAACACUGGAAUUUUUCAGCUUUCAGAAAAACAGAAUAUGUAGUGAAGGAAUGAUGCGUAUUCGGCUGUGAGGGAUGCAUUCAGAGUCUUUUGGUCUGGUUGGAUUUUUCAACCGGCUUCUAACAGCGGUCUAAGACAGGCCUCCAGCUCAGGUGUGGUGGAAGUGAACGCAGUAACACCCGGGUCCUCAUUUAUCAACCGUGUGUAGAAAAGGUUUUAAAUUCUGACUACAGCGGGGUGACGCAGCUCAAGGAAGAAAUGAUCAUAAAUGUUCUUCCUUGAGCUGCGUCACCCCGCUGUAGUCUGUAAUGGAUUGGCCGAGGUCUCCAUACAAACAAGCAGCUGCUGGAAGAGAGUAGCGGAGUUGUGUUUAGUCUCUUUGCUAAAGAAAUUAUUUGUGGCUAUAGAGUGGCGUUUCGGUUGAGGGCGUGGCUCUGUGUAUUGCUAUCGUGCGGUCGUUACUAAAGUUGGUAUAACUAGAGAAUCAAGCGGUCGGCAACAUUCAUCUCUUGUCGGGGUGUCUAAUGCUGGAAUAUCCCUUUAAAAGCCGAGCUAAAUCCCGGCGUGCUCAGUCGGAUCUGUAACACCUUCACUCUGAGUUGUAAACAGCAGGCGAUUGAUUUGUGUCUGCUGGACUUUAGAGCAAUCCACCUGAGGAGUUUGCGUCAUCAGACCCAAUCAGCUGUCAAUCAUUUCUACGGUUAUCACCUGAAGAAAGGUGAAAUUAUGACCUUCAGAGUUGAUUUAACACCUCAGUGACACACUUUAGGAGAUAUUGCAGGGCUGCUGUGUUGCAAACUGUGGCGUGCGUUGAGAAACUUCAGACCUGGAGACGCAUGCAGCACUUCAAUCAUGAGAAAGACUCAGUUUGAGACGUUGAAUUUGAGGAGAAAUGCGUAAAUCCUCCUUUCGCGCCUCUCUAAGCUUCUCUCUCUGGGUUGUGGGACAUCUGUUGCGCCGCAGGACGCCUCACUUCCUUUCAAACUGAGCUCAGAGGUUUUAUCUCCCCCCCUGGUACUUACCUCGUCACCUGCUCUGUCACUUCACACAGGCAGAGGAGAAGGAGACAAAGCCGUCAUUGUUCAAACCUGUCCCAGAAACAGCCAGCGACACAAAGAGAGGCUGACAUGAGAGUCUUUGAAUCUGAAACCCCUGAUCCAGGUGUGCAGGUAGAGUCCGAGCAGGUCUGAGGGUUUACCUCACGCUUUGAAGUCCUCUGUGACGUCAGACUCAGGAACGUGGACCACCAGGCCCUGUAGGACAGCUCUCAACAAGCUCAGAGACCUGUGCGAUUAGGCACGGGGUCCCACAGGGGUCUGUCCUCGGUCCGCUGUUGUUUUCACUUUACCUGGCACCUGAUUUGCAGUCGUGUACGCCAGACCAGGGGCCUCAUUUAUCAACCGUGCGUACGUACAGAUGUGUGCGUAAUGACUGUGUACGAACAUUCCCACGCAAAGUCUGGAAUUGAUCAACCUGAACUUGUGUUUAAGCACAACUCUGAGCAUGCAUACACACAAACCCUAGUGGUAGAACAGUGAAACUACAAAUACAGCCCAUUAAAGGAGUCGCAGCGUUCAGCAUUCAGUCUCACUCUGUGUUACGGUGCGUUUGACCCUAAAUUAAUUUUGUACCGGAAUAUCCCUUUAACUUCUAGACAGUUAGCUUCUGGUCAGUUACAUUAUUGGCUUAAUCUGGUUCAGGUCUUCCACAUGGUUCCCCAGUCAUAAUGAAACUGUCUUUGAACCCGGCUCAAACAUGCUGUUUUUGCUGUAAAGGUGGAACCUGUUUUAAUAGAUUUGCAUGUGACGUCUGCAGAAAACCUCAAGUGGACGCUAAAGGAACUGCAGUUUUUGGUAAUUCGGCAUCAGCUCGCUCCUAAAAAUCAGAGGUUACACUGAAAAAAAGUCAAACUUUGUGAGUGUUUUUGUCUUAUUUCUGAUCAAAUGUGUCUCUUUAGGUUAAUUUACCGAAAAAUUGUCUGAUAGGUCCAGAAAAGCGGCUUAUUCCAAGACAUUACAAGCCAAAAAAAGGCGACUGUUUGUUAUGAGUAAAAGAAAAUCUGCGAGAAAUGAGACAAAAAAAUUAUUAAGAUUUGAGUUUUUAAAGUGUAUAACUAGAAAACAAAUGUUAUGUGUUGUUGUCAGAGGCAAAUAUCUGCCGCGGGGUCCCACAGGGUUCAGUCCUGGGUCCAACUCUGUUUUCAAAUUCACUGUUAUGCCGAUGACAUGCCUCUUUACAUUCGACAUAGUGGUACAUCACUGAGACUGAGUCCAGGUGUUGUGCAGACUAUGGACAAUACUCUUAUUUGUAUUCCUCAGUUUUUGGCGUUUAGUUUUUCAUGGUUAUCUUUCGAUCUCUUGUUACUCAGUUGUGUAUAAUUUUUCAGGUCCUGAGUUGCCGAGACGCCCCAGAGCUCUGACCCUAACUGCAGCAUCCCUGUUGUGUUUACGAGGUACAAAUUGCACAUUACAUACCUGCAGAGGAAGCUGAAUGCGAUACGGGAUUUCUCAAAAUGCCAUCUGUUCCUACAGUCCAACAGGCCUCGAGCAAAAGCCGGAAAACUUCACGCAGGUAUUCGUCCGGGAGGUCCGACUUAAUGGAGCCAAUUUGGCAGCAUCUAAACGGAAACACUGAAGAGAAAAUGAAAUAAACUGCGAGUUCCUCAUCAGAGUAAUGACAGUGACCUCUCGUCCACCCGCAGCAACAGUUUGGUCUCAUUAAUAAAGAGUCCAGAGGAGGUGAGGUAUUUUCACAGCAGCCUGGAGGAUUCUCAUAAAACUGGGGAAAGGAAAUGUUUUAAUGUCUCUGCUGACAGGACGCUUAAAUAAACACAAUGGAGUUUUUCAGUCGGGGUUACUGGAUGAAGUCAUAGCUGAUGGAUGUUAUUGUCGUAAUUUUUCCAAAAGAUGGUUAUUGUUUGUUUCCUCUCAGUUCACAGCAGCAGGGAACGAGAAGUGAAGAUGUUAGCGCUUAUUUAGGUUCGGGAGAAGAGUUUUAAAUCGAAAAUAUCAGGUUUAACUUCCUGACCAUUGAAGUAAUUCAGAUAAAAUGACACUUAACCAGGGUGUAAAUGUGCCUAUUUGAUGUAAAGUUGGAGAUUUUAACAUGCAGCCAAAUGGAGGUUUGAUCACUUUUAGAGACAGCCCCAAGUGGCCGUCUGAGGAACUGCAGUUUUUGGCAUCUCUAUAUAAGUUUUCCUUUUUUUUCUUUGUUUCUGUUUUAAAGGAUAUUAAGUAUAUAUUUUAAAAAA